GCCAUAUCAGUUCUGUUAUACUCACAUACAUUAUUUUAACAGUUGUGGAAACUUUAGAGUGUUUUCUAUCCAAAUCUACUAAUUACAUGCAUAUCCUAUCUGCUGGGCCUGAGUAGCAGGCAGUUUAAUUUGGGCACGCUUUUCAUCCAAAAUUCUGAAUGCUGCUCCCUACCCUAGUGAAGUUAAAUAUUUCUAAGAAUAUUUUUUUGCAUUUUGCGUUAUGCUAAUGAGCUUGAGCCGUAGUCACGAUCCCGGAUCCGGGAUGGGUAGCAUCAAGAGGUUUUAACUAUUCAUGAAAAUCGCAAAUUAAAUGAAAUAAAUAUAUUGGCUCACAAGCUUAACCUUUUGUUAACAACACUGUCAUCUCAGAUUUUCAAAAUAUGCUUUUCAACCAUAGCUACACAAGCAUUUGUGUAAGAGUAUUGAUAGCUAGCAUAGCAUUAAGCCUAGCAUUCAGCAGGCAACAUUUUCACAAAAACAAGAAAAGCAUUCAAAUAAAAUCAUUUACCUUUGAAGAACUUUGGAUGUUUUCAAUGAGGAGACUCUCAGUUAGAUAGCAAAUGUUCAGUUUUUCCAAAAAGAUUAUUCGUGUAGGAGAAAUUGCUCUGUUUUGUUCAUCACGUUUGGCUAAGAAAAAAAAAACGAAAAUUCAGUCAUUACAACGCCAAACUUUUUUCAAGAUUAACUCCAUAAUAUCGACAGAAACAUGGCAAGCGUUGUUUAGAAUCAAUCCUCAAGGUGUUUUUCACAUAUCUAUUCGAUGAUAAGUCAUUCGUGGCAGUUGGGUUUCUCCUCUGAAGCAAAUGGAAAAAUACACGCAGGUGGAGAUUACGCAAUAAUUGCAACGGAGGACACCAAGCGAGCACCUGGUAAAUGUAGUCUCUUAUGGUCAAUCUUCCAAUGACAUGCCUACAAAUAUGUCACAAUGCUGCAGACACCUUGGCGAAACGACAGAAAGUGUAAGCUCAUUCCUUGCACAUUCACAGCCAUAUAAGGAGACAUUGGAACACAGCGCCUUCAAAAUC
Oncorhynchus tshawytscha (Chinook salmon) is the source of this 1025-nucleotide long non-coding RNA. The record is from Ensembl. Lineage: Eukaryota; Metazoa; Chordata; Actinopteri; Salmoniformes; Salmonidae.